This 68-nucleotide transfer RNA is filed under the name Sundamys annandalei (Annandale's rat). RNAcentral's name for it is "tRNA-His". It matches the Rfam family "tRNA". From Rfam's summary of the family: Transfer RNA (tRNA) molecules are approximately 80 nucleotides in length. Their secondary structure includes four short double-helical elements and three loops (D, anti-codon, and T loops). Further hydrogen bonds mediate the characteristic L-shaped molecular structure. tRNAs have two regions of fundamental functional importance: the anti-codon, which is responsible for specific mRNA codon recognition, and the 3' end, to which the tRNAs corresponding amino acid is attached (by aminoacyl-tRNA synthetases). tRNAs cope with the degeneracy of the genetic code in two manners: having more than one tRNA (with a specific anti-codon) for a particular amino acid; and 'wobble' base-pairing, i.e. permitting non-standard base-pairing at the 3rd anti-codon position. The record is from RNAcentral. Lineage: Eukaryota; Metazoa; Chordata; Mammalia; Rodentia; Muridae.
GUAAAUAUAGUUUAUAAAAAACAUUAGACUGUGAAUCUAACAAUAGGAAGUGAAAUUCCUUAUUUACC